GACGUAGGGCGCGAGCGUUGUCCGGAUUUAUUGGGCGUAAAGAGCUCGUAGGCGGUGUGUCGCGUCGGCCGUGAAAACCUGCAGCUUAACUGUGGGCGUGCGGUCGAUACGGGCAUCACUGGAGUUCGGCAGGGGAGACUGGAAUUCCUGGUGUAGCGGUGAAAUGCGCAGAUAUCGGGAGGAACACCCGUAGCGAAGGCGGCACUCUGGGCCGGUACUGACGCUGAGGAGCGAAAGCGUGGGGAGCAAACAGG
Molecule: ribosomal RNA, 254 nt
Filed under: uncultured bacterium
Lineage: Bacteria
Description: partial 16S ribosomal RNA
Rfam family: Bacterial small subunit ribosomal RNA
Source: RNAcentral